AGAGUUUGAUCAUGGCUCAGAUUGAAGAACGCUGGCAGGCCUAACACAUGCAAGUCGAGCGAGAAAGCACUUCGGUGUGAGUAGAGCGGCGGACGGGUGAGUAACGCGUAGGAAUUUGCCCAGUAGUGGGGGACAACAUGUGGAAACGCAUGCUAAUACCGCAUACGCCCUAUGGGGAAAGCAGGGGAUCUUCGGGGACCUUGCGCUAUUGGAGAAGCCUGCGUCGGAUUAGCUAGUUGGUGGGGUAAAGGCCCACCAAGGCGACGAUCCGUAGCUGGUCUGAGAGGAUGAUCAGCCACACUGGGACUGAGACACGGCCCAGACUCCUACGGGAGGCAGCAGUGGGGAAUAUUGGGCAAUGGGGGCAACCCUGAUCCAGCAAUGCCGCGUGUGUGAAGAAGGCCUGCGGGUUGUAAAGCACUUUCAAUUGGGAAGAAAGAUUUAGAGUUAAUACCUCUUAAUAUUGACGUUACCAAUAGAAGAAGCACCGGCUAACUCUGUGCCAGCAGCCGCGGUAAUACAGAGGGUGCGAGCGUUAAUCGGAAUUACUGGGCGUAAAGAGUACGUAGGUGGUUAAAUCAGUCGGAUGUGAAAGCCCCAGGCUUAACUUGGGAAUUGCAUUCGAUACUGUUUGACUAGAGUACAGUAGAGAGAAGCGGAAUUCCUAGUGUAGCGGUGAAAUGCGUAGAUAUUCUGAGGAACACCAGUGGCGAAGGCGGCCCCCUGGAUUGAUACUGACACUGAGGUGCGAAAGCGUGGGUAGCAAACAGGAUUAGAUACCCUGGUAGUCCACGCCGUAAACGAUGUCAACUAGUUGUUGGGGAAAUUUUGGCUUUUAGUAACGUAGCUAACGCGAUAAGUUGACCGCCUGGGGAGUACGGCCGCAAGGUUAAAACUCAAAUGAAUUGACGGGGGCCCGCACAAGCCGUGGAGCAUGUGGUUUAACUCGAUUCAACGCGAAGAACCUUACCAGCCCUUGACAUCCUGUGAACUUUCUUGAAAUAGAUUGGUGCCUUCGGGAACACAGUGACAGGUGCUGCAUGGCUGUCGUCAGCUCGUGUCGUGAGAUGUUGGGUUAAGUCCCGCAACGAGCGCAACCCUUGUCCUUAGUUGCCAGCACGUAAUGGUAGGAACUCUAAGGAGACUGCCGGUGACAAACCGGAGGAAGGUGGGGAUGACGUCAAGUCAUCAUGGCCCUUAUGGGCAGGGCUACACACGUGCUACAAUGGGUGGUACAGAGGGAAGCUAACCCGCGAGGGGUUGCCAAUCUCAGAAAACCAUCCGUAGUCCGGAUUGCAGUCUGCAACUCGGCUGCAUGAAGUCGGAAUCGCUAGUAAUCGCGGAUCAGAAUGCCGCGGUGAAUACGUUCCCGGGCCUUGUACACACCGCCCGUCACACCAUGGGAGUGGGCUGUACCAGAAGUAGGUAGUCUAACCGCAAGGAGGACGCUUACCACGGUAUGGUUCAUGACUGGGGUGAAGUCGUAACAA
Molecule: ribosomal RNA, 1490 nt
Filed under: uncultured prokaryote
Description: partial 16S ribosomal RNA
Rfam family: Bacterial small subunit ribosomal RNA
Source: RNAcentral